Molecule: long non-coding RNA, 11580 nt
Filed under: Theobroma cacao (cacao)
Lineage: Eukaryota; Viridiplantae; Streptophyta; Magnoliopsida; Malvales; Malvaceae
Description: long non-coding RNA (TCAC_LNC006080)
Source: RNAcentral
ACCUAUUGGAUGACUUUGCUUGCAAGAAGGCCACCAAGGAUCUUGGAUAUUUCAUUGCUGUAACAACUCUGGAGAGCAUUGGGGACGGCAAAGUUAGACAGAACACAGGGGAUGUGCUUUUCCCUGUUGUCUUCAGUGGCAUCACCUUCAAGAUGUUCAGGGGAGAGAUUUUGGAAGGGGUUGUACACAAGAUACUGAAACAUGGAGUUUUCUUGAGGUGUGGGCCAGUCCAAAACAUCUAUCUGUCUCACCUAAAAAUGCCUGACUAUCAUUAUGUGCCUGGGGAAAAUGCUAUCUUCAUGAAUGACAAGCACUCGAAGAUUGAGAAGGAUGUUGUUGUUCGAUUCAUAGUGAUUGGAACAAAGUGGCUGGAGGCAGAGAGAGAAUUUCAGGCAUUGGUGAGUUUGGAAGGUGACUACUUAGGACCAGUUUCUUGAACAUAACUUUUGUUCACCUUUGUAUGUAUUUGGAUGCACUUCUUACCAUUUUCUUAAGAACUUGUUGAUUUGAGAAUGUUGGAUGUUAAAUUGUUCGACUAGCUAUUGUAAAUUCAGUUGUUGAAGUCUACAGUUAACUUAUGAUAUAUACUUGGUAUAGCAUUUGAAAACUCCUGCCUUGUGUGUGUGUGUGUGUGUUUUUUUUUAGCUAAUAUUGAUGUUUGGACUAUGUAUAAUUGGUUAGCACACGACAUGAUCACAAUUUGCUAUCUCCUCUCUGUAUCAAUUGGAAAAAUACUCUGUUUAAGAGGAUAGUCCAUUUUUCUUACUAUCUACUUUUGCCCUAACUGCACUUUUCUACCCCUGGGGAUGGCAUGGAUCUCGUUCACCUUGGUAUACUUCGUUGAGUGCUGGGAAUUGGUCUAACUCUCAUUGAUUGACAAUGAGGCUGACCACUCAAAAUGGUAUCUACAACUUUUUUUGAACAUCCAAAUGCUUAGCUCUUUUGCAAAGCACUCCAUGAGCUAACAAAUUCCCCAGUCUUAUCCUUUAGAGAAAGCUUUGGUAGGGGAUCCUGUUGAGCAGUAAGGCCAAGAGAAACUUGUCGCAGGGUAGGCCGAAAUUGAGGAUUGCCAUGCAAGCAUGCGAUAGCCAGCUUGGUAGUCGAGACCAUUUGAGGAUUGCCAUCCAAUGACCAUUUGGCAUGGAUGGUGAUGAUGAUGAAGAUGAGAAAUUCGAAAUAAGAUAACCCAGAUGCCUUCCCAUUAUUAUCUCUAGUGUUAGCAUGCAGAAACUACAAACAUCCCAUUUUUCAGUCACUCUGAAUGUGUAAGCUAACUCUGCAAAGAGAAGUAGAAUUAUCCAGCCCUUUUUGGAUACAAUAGCUAAGAUCAGAAGCUAAAAUUAUAUUGUUUUUUGGUGUUGAAUAAUUACAAACCUAGAGCUGUGCACCCGAAAGCUAAAAAUUUAACUCUUUGAGAAUUUUUAUUUUAUUUAUAGAAUUUUGAAGUAAUGUUUUAGUCACUAAUGUUUAUAAAAGUUAAUGUUUAGGUUAUUCAGUUAUCGAAAAUUAAUAGUUGUUUAAAGUGGUUUUUUCAUUUCAAUUGAUUUCGAUCAAGCAAAUAAUAUCACGUGACAGAUGAAUUGAUAUGAAUAUAUUACAUGAUUAAGAUUAAUUGACAUGAAGAAACUUAUAUCAACACAGUCUUUAAAAAUUAAUGAUUGGAUUGAGUGAUGAAAAUAUUAUUUUUUAUUAUGUGAUUUGUUUAAAACUAGUGAUCAAAUGGAUAAUUUUUCUUUAAAAAUAAAUAAUUUAAGUAAAAAAUACCUAAAAAUGGAGAGUUUCGACAAUAAAACAAUUCAACUAUAGAUAAAAGAAGGAGAACCCCGCGCCAGAUGACUUCAUUUCAUCUUUCAAAAGCAAGCUAAGUUUACAGGCAGCUUAUAACGAAAUUGGUCGUUCCAGCGUCAAUCUGGUGUCCCAAUUAAAAUAUUAAUUCCUAACUAAUUAGACCAAUUGAUAUUCACAGUGACAAAAUUCUUGGAAGAAAAGGUAAAUUGAUAAGCAAAAAGGCAUACCUAAUGUUAUUAUAUAUUCUCAACCUCCAAUUAUUAGCAUCUCAGCCUGGAACUCCACCAAACAAUUCUCCCAACUCUAUCAUUGAGAAAGGCUUGGGCAAUUGAGGUGAUGGAUGGGUCAAGGCUUGAGCAACCUGUCCCAUGGUUGGCCGAAAUUUAGGGUUGCCAUUCACGCAUGCAAAUGCUAGUUUUGUAGCAAAGACAACAUCCUUUGCUACUUGUCUUACGAGUGGUGAGAGACGUUGGUCUAUCACGCCUUGUAGUAAAAUUUUUUGGUCGUUUGCUUCCGGUGCCGACAGUGAUGAGGACAAACAUGAAAUCAGAUCACCUGGAUGCCUCCCCAUAAGAAUUUCCAUUGUUAGCACCCCAAAACUGUAGACAUCGCAUUUCUCAUCUACUUUCAUCAUAUAAGCUAACUCUGCAUAAGGAAAUCCACGCAUACAUUAUUUAGGUAGUACUAACAAGCAUACUAUAUACCAUUACCAUGGCAUAGAUUAUAUGUUCCACUGCUUCCAUUUUUUUUUAAGAAGAAAGAAACUACUAUAAAUUUAAUGAAUGUUUUAGUAGAUGAUACUAUGACCAAAUUACACAUGUACCUGGAGCUGUGUACCCGAUGGUGCCUGCAAAUGAGGUCCAGUUGGAGGAGUCUGGAUUUAAAAGCCUAGCUGUGCCAAAAUCUGAGACAUGAGCCUCAUAGUCGAAAUCCAAGAGAACAUUGUUGCUGGAAAUGUCUCGAUGAAUUAUAGGUGGUGAAUGGUCGUGAUGCAUAUAAGACAAAGCGUUGGCCAAUCCUUUGACAACAUUGAGCCUCUUAAUCCAAUCCAAUUCUGCUGCCUCUUCAUUGUUGCUUAAGAUCAUUCUCAAACUUCCCCUUUCCAUAAACUCAUAAACCAGAAAUGAGUGCUUUGAAUGUGAACAAAAACCAUGUAAUUUCACAACAUUACGAUGCCUUAUUUCUGUUAAAGCAUGAAUCUCACUUUCAAAGGCUUUCAAGUUGUUGAUAAGCAUGCUAUCUUCAUGCUGGUGAAGUUUCUUGACAGCAACCACCUGACCCAUUGGCAGCACAGCCUUAUAAACAUUUCCAUAUCUUCCUGAACCAAUGCAAUAGUUGGAGCUGAAAUCUUCUGUGGCUUCAAUAAUUUUCUCAUAGAGUAUUCUUCCAUCAAAUCCCAAUACUGUGAAAAUAUCUCCAAGUUGUGCCUCCCUUGACUCAGAUUUUUUGUUUCGAAUCUUUUGGCGAAGAAUAAGGAAACCUCCAGCCAAGGUAAAUAUCAGAAGCGGAAUACCAAAGGGUAAAAGUACAACUAAAAUGGUGACUGUAGUGCGUUUUUUAUGACCCAUUUUGUUGCUAGUGAUAGAAGCACAAGGCAUUAAUCCAGUGGCAUUACCACAGAGGCCCUUAUUGUUUCUUAAGCCAUCAAAUGAAGCCUCAUGAAAUGCCUUAAUGUUGGGAAUGGGGCCUUCUAAUUGAUUGUAAGAGAUAUUCACAAACGUCAAGCUUUGCAAAUAAUGGAAAUCAAUCGGGAUUGAACCACGGAGCAUAUUGUGAGAAAGAUCCAAUAUUUCCAAGGUGUGUAAUUUUCCAAGCUGUUGUGGUAUCACUCCAACAAGCAAAUUUUGACUCAAAUCUAGACUUCGCAAACCAUAUAUGUAGCUUAAUGAAAAAGGAAUGCUUUCUCCAAGUUUAUUCCUGCUCAAAUUCAAGCUCAAAAACUUUGAGCACUCUCCAAGUUGAUUAGGAAUUGGUCCACUUAAAUCAUUUGAUGCCAAGUUUAGAUGUUCUAGAUUUGAAAGAACUCCAAUCUCUAAUGGAAUUUUGCCUGAAAGUUGGUUACCACUUAGCAAAAGACGAAACAUCAAUGAUAAAGAUCCCAAGUCCUUGGGAAUCUCACCGAUUAGAUGAUUGAAAGAGAGAUCGAGUUCCUGUAAUUGAGUUGCAUGUUCCAACUCAGGUGGUAUCUUUCCAGAAAUAUUGUUAUUGGAGAUUUGUAGGCUUGUCAGAUUAUGGCAUUGCCCCCACUUUGGAGAAAGUUCACCAUAAAACCAGUUAUUGCUUAAUGCAAUAUAAUUCAAAUUUGGAUAUACACCAAAAGCUUCUGAUAUAUUUCCUGUCAAGUGAUUCCCUUCAAGCCUAACUCUGUAUAAACUUUUGCAGUCUCUCAAACUUGUUGGGAUCUGACCCGUCAAAUUGUUGUUGAUAACUGAAAUAUUAACGAGUAAUCCAUUGCUGCAUAAAUUUUCAGGUAAUUGACCACUGAGAUGGUUAUGUCCUAAUUGCAAUGAUUCCAAAUGAGUAAGAUUGCUAAAUGUUGGAGGAAUGGACCCUGACAAAUUAUUGUAGAUAAGGAAUAAUACAGUAAGCUUUGUCAAGUUUCCUAUUGAAGCAGGGAUUGAACCAGAGAAAUUAUUCUUAGCGAGCACAAGUACGGAGAGAGAUUUAAGCAUUCCAACUUCUGGAGGUAUCGAUCCAGAAAACAUAUUGCCAUUGAGGUUAAGAUAGGAUAAGCUGGUCAAGUUUCCUAUGGAAGCAGGAAUGACACCUGUGAGAUUAUUAGUUGACAACUGCAAAUCGGACAAAGAUCCAAGUUGUCCUAUUUCGCUCGGGAUAGAACCAGAGAGCUCAUUCCGAUGUAGAUAAAGCUGCACCAACUUGGUUAAAUUUCCAAUGGAUUCUGGGAUAGGACCACUUAGGCUGUUAUUUGAAAAAUCAAGAUAGAGGAGAGACCUCAACAUUCCUACUUCUCCUGGUAUACGGCCAGUGAGUCUGUUGCUCCCAAGGUGAAGCUUGGUUAAAUUAUGCAAGCUUCCAAUAGAGGCAGGGAUUGGACCACUUAGAUAGUUAUGAUUGAAAUAGAUCUCAGAAACUGAACUCAGCCUUCCUAUUUCUUGUGGAAUGGAACCACUGAUCUUAUUUCCUACUAAAGAAACCCACUGAAGACUUUUCAAUAAACAAAUUUCAGAUGGAAUAUUCCCUGAAAAAUUGUUGGAUGACAAGUCAAGGAAGAUGAGCUUGGAAAGGUUUCCAAUGUGUGAGGGAAUGGGCCCAUACAGUGAGUUAUUUUGAAGGUUAAGCGUCAUCAGGUUAGGGAAGAAAGCGAAAUUAAGAGUAUCAAGUGUACCUCUGAAGCCAUAAUUUGGAAGGCUUAGAUUGGUGAUGCUUCCAGCCUUGUCGCAAGUGAUUCCGACCCAGUUGCAGUGGGUGUCUCCAAGCCACGAAGAGAGCAAAGUUUGGCUUUUGUUGUCAAGGCUAGCUUUCCAUUUUAGAAGAGUUUCUGCUUCUUUAGCUGCUGCAGCAGCUGCUAAAGAGGUAAAACCAUUGGAGGACUGAGGCGGCACAAGCAUGAGAAAGAACAGGGCCUGGAAUGGUAUUAAGAAAGAAGCCAUGAUUUCCACAGUUGAAAGGAUUUUGAUUAACUGUUGUAAAUUAGUUUGGCUAGAACGGCCAGGUAUUUAUGCAAAAUAUAGAGCAUUGAUCAGUGAGUGGCCAUGGAACAUCCACAUCAAGUAGAAUAAUUAAAUUAUAUUCUAAUUCAAUUAGAUGUUAAUUAAUUUAAAUUUAUCUUUAAUUCAAUUAUAUAUUUAAUUUUUUAUGGAUAUGUUGAAUUAUGUUUAGUUAAAACAAGUCAAUGAUUCACAAAAUAUGCAAUGCAGUAGCUGCUGCUUGGUUAGAGCUUUAAGACAUUUUUAAUCGUUUGCAGCUUGAAUGACUAAAAAUAUGCUAAAUUGAUUAUAUAAUUAUUAAAAGAAGUUCAACAUAAAUUGAUUCCUUUGCAGCAAAUGUACACGGGUCAGCUGGGAUAGAAACUCUUUCAUUUCUGCGUGAAAUGUACACUACCUUCCUUGGCAGCUAAGGAGAUCUGUCAGGAUGUAAGAAUGCCGUUGAACGAGUUAAAGCAUUGAUGGAAUAUAAUGUGGGUCUUUUUGACUUUUUGUUAACCACGUCUCCUCUUCUUUGUAUGAAAUAUCCAUUCAUCUUGCUUUUCCCAAAAAAAAAAAAAAAUUAUAAUAAUAAAGUGAGCUAAGUGAAAUUGCAAAUGAAUUGUUUUAUCAUUAUUCUAGUUUAUAUUGGACCUUACAAUGCUGGAAAACUGGCUCAAAUUCAACGAACAUUGAUAGCUUUAAUCAUACGACAAAUAUUUGACCACCACAAAUUACAUAAAAAAUAAAAUAUCUCAAAUACAUGAUCUUUAAAAUGAUAAGUCACCCCAAAUUGUCAAGCACGGUGUUGAGUUGGAGAUUCUUAAAAGUAAGGAAACCAUUUUCACGUGAAGACGUACAGUCUUGAUAAAGACAAUAGAGAAAAAGGAAACACCUUUUUCCAUCAGCUUUAAUUUGUUUUAAUUUUUCCUGGAGACAUGAGAUUCUUAAUGUUGUAAUGUGAAACACCUUUAUUACUAAAAAGGAAACCUAAAUUAAUUAAAACAUCACAUGACAAAUACAAAGUUAGAACAAUGUUGUUGAUUUUACACAUGCAAGUAUACAUAUCAAAUAAGUAAUAUAAACAGUAAAUCUAGAUUAUUGUUCGCGCAAAGAUUUACUUCUAAAGUUUCACUAAGUACUAAAAUUAUAUAACAAAUUAAUUUUAUUUAAGCUAAUCGAAAAUUGAGAAAAUAAUCAAAGUCAAAAUUAAAAAUAAACAAUAAAUUAACUACCAAAAACUAAUUAUGUUGAGAAAAGUAGUAGAUUGAAAACCUAGGGUCAUGGAUUCAUUCAACACUUUAUAUAAUAUAAGCUUUUCUUGUUAUUUAUCUUUCCUGAGUAGUUUUACUAAUAUAGAAUCCAAAGCUAUGGACAAAUCUCUGUUGAGAUAUUUGUACAAAUAUCUAACUUAAUUAGUUCACUAUAUGUUAAUAGAAAUCAAUUAAAUUAAGUUCAUUAAGCAAGUAUUUAAUCUGACUACAUAUGACAAUUGGCAUAUGUUUACCUGAAUCGUGAAUUAGAUUACUUAAGUGACAUGAAUAUACAUUAUUCAAAUCUUAAUUCAACCCAAAAUCUCUCAAUCAAGUUUCAAUUAGAUUCGCAAAUCAAUUAAUUGUUGAUCAGGUAAUUAAAGGCAUUAAGAAUAGAUUUGAAUAAGUAAAACGAUACUCAUUCAUGAUAAAUAAUAGAAAAAUAAGUUUUCAGGCUAUAUGUUGAAAUCCAUCAUAAUCCUAGAUAAGCAAAUUAGCUCAUAAUAUCUAAAUAAAACACUAUCUAAAAAAAUUUAGCCAUGAAUUCAAAACAAGAAAGUAGGAAUAACACAAAAGGAGAUAACUAAAUAAUGUCAAAGCCUAGUUGAUUGCGAAUCUCUCUCAAUUGCUCUUGAAUUCUUGAUUGAUUCAUAGCUCCAAUUCUCUAGAAAAUUAAAGCUGUUGUCGUCUCCUCCUCUGAAUGCUCUAAAAAAGACUCUUAAAUAUGUGCAAGGUGCCAUACUUUUCAAUUUUUUUUGUUGCAGUUUUAAUUUUGAAAACUGUGGUGGAGCCAUGGCCUUGAAUUCUUAGCGUCGCGGUGUCGUAACAAGCCUUGGUAGCACCGCAACGCUCCUCUGUUGGGGCCACGGCGGUUUUCUCUCUACCGUUUGUAUGGUGCACCCUUCCAACUCAGUGCCACAGCCAUGGUUCUCCCAACGCUGCGGUGGUAGAUACCUCAGUGUCGCGGCCAUGAGUAACUUAGAGCCGCAGCCUCAGUCACCUUGUUGCCUUAUGUACAGAAUUACAUCUAUUUAUUAACUUCGAAUGUGAUUUUCACCUAGAUCUGGUCCGAACUGGGCAAAGUGGUCAAUAUGAAAGUUGUAGCCCAUUUUCUUAGCUUUCUAAUGAAUUAAAAAUGACAUCAAUUGGACUUUUGUAACUCAAGUUACCUUUAAAUUACUGCAACAUAUGUGAGUAACACUUUCACCAUACUUAUGCUAUCAUAACUUAAGUUCAUCUUAUUCAUCACAUAUCCUACACAAAACCAUGAGAGAAAUCAACAUUAACUCUUCUUAAAAUAAAUUAAAAACAAAAUAAAGUAAAAUUAAACUAACAUAACUUAAUUUAACUAUUUAACAAGUAAUAUAACUUACAUUAGAAAAACGCUUAAAAUAUUAAAAUUCGAGCCUAAAACUCAAAGAUCUAGUGACUAAAGUCUUCAAAAUGUUUUAAAAAUAACUCUAUAUAGCACAGUUAUCAGAACAAUGAUUGUUAUCCCUCGUUUAAAAUAAUUGAGGUUCAAAGUUCAUACAAAAUUAAUUUAAGAUGAAAGAAAACAUUACAUGAUACACCCCAAUUAAUAUUAAGUACUACUUUUUUCCCAAUAUUUAUACUAUGAAAUAUGUCACGCGAUGUGGGUCGAUUUUGUAAUAUUUGAUAUUAGAGUAUUUCUCUAUUUAUUUUUAAUAUUUUAAGUUGUCAUCGGUACUUAAAUUCAAAUUUGAGACUUUUAAAUGUCCCUUUUAAAGUGGAAAAUUGAUUUUGACCUCAAUUCUCUCAAUUGAAUUCAUUAAAAUGCAUGUUCUACAUUUAUGAAGAACAUUACCAUACUUAAAUAUAGAAAACAAUUAAAUAUUCUCUUUGAACCAUUUUAGGAGAUAAUAAAUAUGUAGAGCAUUCCAAUAGUGAAAACUAAAAAGAUGGAAAUACUAUUUUUCUUUUUCAACCUAUUUUCAGAUUUUAUUAGAUGGGAUUUUUAAAAAUGGUUCACAUAAUUGUUUUUCUCACACAUAAUUCAUAUAUUUUAUUUUAAAAAUGGUCUUGACUUACUAUGAUUAAACAUGUUUAAGGAAAGUAUCAAUGCUUUAAUGUCACGUUUACAAGAAGAGAAAUGUAUAUUGAAUUGUGUUGUUAUACAAGGAAAAUGGAGUAUGUUUAUAUAAGAGAUUCUCAACAAUUUAGGAGAGAAUCGUAUAUAUGUUCCACAGACAUAUUUAAUUAAAUUAUAUUUAUUAUUAAAAUAUUAUAAAAUCUUUUUAUAUCUAUUUUUUAAUAAUUUUAAAUAAAUAAUAAAAUUAAAAUUAAACACAAUAUUCAACUUCUCUUGUUUAUCUGUUUGUCAAUUUUCUCAUUCUCAUCACUCAUCCCUAUAUUUUACCUUAUUACAUUAUAUCAAGCUUCCUUUUUUUUUUCAACUAUUUUUAAAUAAUAAUUAACACUAUAUUAAAAGAAAAGUCUCAUUCCUAUUAACUUAAUUUCUAUGAUAGUUAGCACUACUUCUAUAUUAUAAGUUUUUGUUGUGUUCGCAAUUACAAAAUUUUCGUUGUUUUCUUUUUUUCUCAUCUCUUUUUUCUUUUAUUACAAAAUUAAUUAUGAGAUUUAAUUAGUUUAAAAUAUUUUUAAUUAUUAUCAAAUUAAACUUUAAUUAAAUUAUAUUCUAAUUCCAUUAGACAUUAAAUAUUUUAAAGUUGUCUUUAAUUCAAUUAUAUAUUAAUUAAAAUUUGAUUCACAAUGGAUUUUGCUUUUGUGGAUAUUUAUGUGAUAUCCAUUUCAUAUCAAAUUUGAAUGUGAUUGUUGAAAUUUAUAUAAUAAUCUAAUUAAUCAGUAGUAACAAUUUGAGUUUAAACUUUUGAGAAUCACGGUUUAGACUUAAAAAAGUAUUGGAUAAGUGAUGUUUGGACUUAGAUCAUUAUAAAUACUAGAUAAAAAGCCUGGUUAGUACGGAUGUUUUUAUUAUUUUUGUAGUUUGUACUUUGUAGAAAUCCAUCUUUGAAAGUACAUGUGUCAAUUUAUGAAUUUAAGGCAGUAGAGAUGUGAACUAGUUAACUCAUAAGUUGACACAUGUACUUUCAAACAUAUCUAAGAUAUGUUGUCCACAUCAUUUUCCCUUCCUCAAUGAAUUUUGAUAAUGACAAUACAAUUAUAAAUGUACAGAUUGUUAGAAAUUUUGAUGUAAAGGACGAAUUUAUUAAUUAUUUUACUUGAUUUACGUGAAAAGAAAAAAGAUUUGCAUGUUCAAAUAGUCCAAAAAUGUUUAGUCUACAAAUCUCUCUACACUUGGAAAAGCUUUAUCAAUGGUAUCCGUUAUUACCAUGUGAUAAUGACUUGCCCAAAAAAGGAUAGAAAUAAGUUAAUUAGUAUAGAAUCCACAUCCUUUGCUCCUAUUUUCUUGUCGCCUAGAGAUGUUGCCCACUCUUUGGCAUCUGUCACAUUGCACAGCAAACUUAUAAGCAUCUCUAAACAAAGUAGGCCAAUACAAACCUGAUUGGAGAACUUUGGCAGCAGUCCUCCAAAAUGCCCACCAUAAUAUGAAGAAUGGCAAUGAUGAAGCACGCUUUGAACUUCUUCUUCUGGAACACAUUUUCUCAGAAUUUGAUCAUUACACUGCUUAAACAAGAAAGGAUUAUUCCACACAUAAGAUUUAACAUCAUGCAAAAACUUCUUUUUCUGGUGAAAAUUUAAAUAAGAGGGAAUGAUAUUGCUCACCAGAUAAUUUACAAAGUCCGCAUACCAAGGGGUUGAGCUCUUACUCACUUGAAAGAUUUGCUCAUCCGGGAAGGUCUCCCUGAUGACGGUUUACUCCUUCCCUUGAUGUUCAGGCUCCAAUCUCGAUAGGUGGUCUGCUACUUGAUUUUCUGUUCCCUUUUUAUCACGGAUCUCUAAAUCAAACUCUUGUAGCAGCAGGAUCCAUCUAAUCAACCUUAGCUUGGCAUCUUUUUUGGCAAUCAAAUACUUAAUGGCAGAAUGAUCAGUAUACACAAUGACCUUAGUGCCAACCAAAUAAGAACGAAACUUAUCAAAUGCAAAAACUACAGCUAACAGUUCUUUUGGGGCUCCCAACUGCACUGUGUUGUGGUGCCCAACAGCAAGCCUACUGAAUCUGCUCAGCAUGUUUUGUUUUAGAUGUUUCAAUUGGGUGUGAAGGAAAUGCCAUAAUUUCCUUUGAUAUUAUCUUUUUAUUAUUGCUUUAUGUUUGAUUCCAGGUUUGAUGCUAUCUGUUUUUGUGGAGUUGUGCAUUAUUGAUUAUGUGAAAUGGGAUGUGAAAUGGGCAUUAUAGGGUUAUGUUCAUUACAAUGUGGUAAAUUUGUAGGUGGUUAAAAUGUGAUCUCUCUCAAUCUUUUGUGUUUGGAGUGUUGAAAUUGGGUUUUGACAUAUUUGCUCUCAGGAUAGGUCUAAACUAACCAUAGGUACCUUUGUCAAUUUUUCAUUUCUUCAAGAUUGAUAUACUGUUUCUUCUUAUUCUAAGGACAUGGAUUAGUUGGGAAUUAUUUUAUUUUCAAUUUCCGUGUUCAGGAGCAGCAUGUUUCUCAAGGUGCAGUUGCCAUGGAAUGUCAUAAUUCCUGCUGACGGCUUGGGUGCCGAAGGCUUGAUGCUCCAAAAGGCUAUAGUGGUACGCCUAUUGGAUGACUUUGCUUGCAAGAAGGCCACCAAGGAUCUUGGAUAUUUCAUUGCUGUAACAACUCUGGAGAGCAUUGGGGACGGAAAAGUUAGACAGAACACAGGGGAUGUGCCUUUCCCUGUUGUCUUCAGUGGAAUCACCUUCAAGAUGUUCAGGGGAGAGAUUUUGGAAGGGGUUGUACACAAGAUACUGAAACAUGGAGUUUUCUUGAGGUGUGGGCCAGUCCAAAACAUCUAUCUGUCUCACCUAAAAAUGCCUGACUAUCAUUAUGUGCCCG